This 406-nucleotide ribosomal RNA is filed under the name uncultured bacterium. RNAcentral describes it as "partial 16S ribosomal RNA". It matches the Rfam family "Bacterial small subunit ribosomal RNA", at positions 29 to 526 of the family's 1533-position model. The record is from RNAcentral.
AUUGAACGCUGGCGGCAGGCCUAACACAUGCAAGUCGAACGAGAGGCGGACGGGUGAGUAAUGUCUGGGAAACUGCCUGAUGGAGGGGGAUAACUACUGGAAACGGUAGCUAAUACCGCAUACCAUCAGAUGUGCCCAGAUGGGAUUAGCUAGUAGGGGGGGUAAUGGCUCACGUAGGCGACGAUCCCUAGCUGGUCUGAGAGGAUGACUAGCUACACGGGAACAGAGACACGGCCCAGACUCUGACGAGAGGCAGCAGUGGAGAAUAUUGCACAAUGGGCGCAAGGCUGAUGCAGCCAUGCCGCGUGUGUGCAGAAGGCCUUCGGGUUGUAAAGCACUGUCAGCGAGGAGGCGUUACUCGCAGAAGAAGCACCGGCUAACUCCGUGCCAGCAGCCGCGGUAAUAC